GGAAGGAUGGCCGAGUGGUCGAUGGCGUAGCAUUGGAAAUGCUAUGUAGGUUUUGGCCUACCGAGGGUUCGAAUCCCUCUUCUUCCU
Molecule: transfer RNA, 87 nt
Organism: Klebsormidium nitens
Lineage: Eukaryota; Viridiplantae; Streptophyta; Klebsormidiophyceae; Klebsormidiales; Klebsormidiaceae
Rfam family: tRNA
About the family: Transfer RNA (tRNA) molecules are approximately 80 nucleotides in length.
Source: Rfam